AUUGCAUAUAAGGAAUGCAGUAUAGCUAGGGAAUGACCCCUAGGUCGUCUCCCAAAGACCAAUUUUGCGGUUCGAGAAUCGAGUCUAACACAAAAAGAGGGGGGAGGGGUUGAAAGUGUGUUGCAAAAUUUAAAGAACUAAAUAAAAAGACAGAUGCAAACAAACUAAUUAAAGCUAGCAUGGUAAUUAAACUAACACUAUUAAAAACCUUAGACAACAUUCAAACAUCAAAUACUCUUGCAAGCAAAUUAACAAACACAAUUAAAAUUAAUUAAACUCAACACUAAUUCAUUAAACUCAACCUAUCAACCAAAUUAAUUAAAAACCAAGGAAACCAACAAGCCUAAUUUAAUCCUAACAAAUCACUUGACACAAUGGCAAUUAACAAAUGAAUUUAAAAAUCCAAUUGGCCAAAUAAAAGCACAUGGCCGUGAGUGAUGUUUCAAAGGUCCAAAUUCAAAAUUCUAUUUUCAUUUAACCACCAAAUGUGUUGUCUUUUGUCCCAUGUGCACCAAUUCUCAAAAGAAACUAAAAUAUACUUAAACAUCCAAUUGAAAACCAUUCCUUAGUCUUCUCCAUGCAGCAAAAUUCGAAAUCCACACUCCAAGACCACAAAAUGUCGAACCUACCAAGUGAUUCCUACAAAAAAUACUUCAAAAACCCAUGUGCAAAUGGAAGAUACAUUGUGUGCUCCAACCAAAGUGCCAUGUAGGCAAGACCAAAUGAAAUUAAACAACCAAAGACCUCCCAUGCAAAGGCAAUUCAUGGAUGGAAUUCAAAUAAAGCCAAAGCUCAAAAUGGAAAUCUUCCUAGAAUGAAAAUGAGCAUCUUUUUUUGUUUGCCCAAAAGUGGUAAAAAAUUAAUGCAUCAUUCUCUCUCCUUUCUACAUACCAUUUUCGUUUCCUUCACCAACACACACCUUCAUAAUCUUUCUUCCUCUCCUCAAUACCAAGAAUGAGCACCCAAGAGACC
This 972-nucleotide long non-coding RNA is filed under the name Vigna radiata. RNAcentral's name for it is "long non-coding RNA (VRAD_LNC008317)". Lineage: Eukaryota; Viridiplantae; Streptophyta; Magnoliopsida; Fabales; Fabaceae. The record is from RNAcentral.